CCUACGGGUGGCAGCAGUGAGGAAUAUUGGUCAAUGGCCGUAAGGCUGAACCAGCCAAGUAGCGUGAGGGAAGACUGCCCUAUGGGUUGUAAACCUCUUUUAUGCGGGGAGAAAGGUGGCCACGUGUGGAUGUUUGCAGGUACCGCAUGAAUAAGGACCGGCUAAUUCCGUGCCAGCAGCCGCGGUAAUACGGAAGGUCCGGGCGUUAUCCGGAUUUAUUGGGGUUAAAGGGAGCGUAGGCCGGUCUUGAAGCGUGCCGUGAAAUUUUGUGGCUCAACCCUGAGAGGGCGGCGCGAACUGGCGUCCUUGCGUGCGCGGCAGCCAGGCGGACUUCGUGGUGUAGCGGUCA
RNAcentral lists this ribosomal RNA (349 nucleotides) under uncultured bacterium. RNAcentral's name for it is "partial 16S ribosomal RNA". It matches the Rfam family "Bacterial small subunit ribosomal RNA", at positions 338 to 684 of the family's 1533-position model. The record is from RNAcentral.